This 261-nucleotide ribosomal RNA is filed under the name uncultured bacterium. RNAcentral describes it as "partial 16S ribosomal RNA". It matches the Rfam family "Bacterial small subunit ribosomal RNA", at positions 524 to 776 of the family's 1533-position model. The record is from RNAcentral.
GACGUAGGGCGCGAGCGUUGUCCGGAUUUAUUGGGCGUAAAGAGCUCGUAGGCGGCUUGUCGCGUCGAAUGUGAAAACUUGGGGCUCAACUCCAAGCUUGCAUUCGAUACGGGCAGGCUAGAGUUCGGUAGGGGGGAGACUGGAAUUCCUUGGUGUAGCGGUGAAAAUGCGCAGAUAUCAGGAGGAACACCGGUGGCGAAGGCGGGGUCUCUGGGGCCGAUACUGACGCUGAGGAGCGAAAAGCGUGGGGGAGCGAACGGG